Molecule: long non-coding RNA, 79 nt
Organism: Hippocampus comes (tiger tail seahorse)
Lineage: Eukaryota; Metazoa; Chordata; Actinopteri; Syngnathiformes; Syngnathidae
Exons: 3
Source: RefSeq, a predicted model, not a curated record
CAGUGUGCUCACACUAUACUUAACUGUUCAAUAGAUUGGCAAAUAAAUGUAUACGAAAUGUAUGUAUGUAUGUAUGUGU